RNAcentral lists this ribosomal RNA (252 nucleotides) under uncultured soil bacterium. Its description in RNAcentral is "partial 16S ribosomal RNA". It matches the Rfam family "Bacterial small subunit ribosomal RNA", at positions 26 to 285 of the family's 1533-position model. The record is from RNAcentral.
AGGACGAACGCUGGCGGCGUGCCUAACACAUGCAAGUCGAACGGAACCAGCAAUGGUUCAGUGGCGGACGGGUGCGUAACACGUGAGGAACAUGUCUUUCGGUGGGGGAUAGCCGGCCCAACGGCCGGGUAAUACCGCAUACGCUGCUCGGAGCUCCUGCUCUGAGUCGGAAAGCAGCAAUGCGCCGAUCGAGUGCCCCGCGGCCUAUCAGCUAGUUGGUGAGGUAAUGGCUCACCAAGGCGACGACGGGUA